AAUAAACGAAUUUUUGAGUUUUUAUAUAAUUUUUGACUCUUCGUCUUAUUUAAAAAUUUUUUAUGAUUAAUAUUUUUAUUGUUAUUAUAUAAUAAAACAUAAAUAAUAUUUUAUAUAUAACUAUUUUUUAAAAAAAUUAAAAUUUUUUAAAUAAGACGAAUGGUCAAACGAUCAACCUGGAAACUCA
RNAcentral lists this microRNA precursor (187 nucleotides) under Oryza brachyantha (malo sina). Its description in RNAcentral is "MIR812 microRNA precursor family". It matches the Rfam family "MIR812 microRNA precursor family". Lineage: Eukaryota; Viridiplantae; Streptophyta; Magnoliopsida; Poales; Poaceae. The record is from Rfam by way of RNAcentral.